GCGCAGGUGUGGAAAUUGGUAGACCAGCACGCUUGAGGUGCGUGUGCCUCACGGCAUGGGGGUUCGAGUCCCCCCCUGCGCA
RNAcentral lists this transfer RNA (82 nucleotides) under Candidatus Kaiserbacteria bacterium. Its description in RNAcentral is "tRNA-Leu". It matches the Rfam family "tRNA". From Rfam's summary of the family: Transfer RNA (tRNA) molecules are approximately 80 nucleotides in length. Their secondary structure includes four short double-helical elements and three loops (D, anti-codon, and T loops). The record is from RNAcentral. Lineage: Bacteria; Candidatus Kaiseribacteriota.